GGUUAUUUUCCCCGGUUUAUUGGCUACAAAUAAAAUUAAAAAUAAAUAAAUUAUUUUAAAAAAAAAACAAUGUUUUCUUCAUAGUUCCUAUUUGACCUACUAAUUUCCCAUUUUACCCUUCUUCUUCAACCUCCUCCCUCCAAAGGCAAAAAGCUCACAUCCAUAAAGCACCAAUUUAAUUUAAUUUGAUUUAAAUUAUUUUAUUUUUCUGUUUUUCGAAUUAAAUGACGUGAUUUCUUUUUUGAUUCUUCAAACGCAUCCUUCAUUUGUGAAAAUGAAAAUUUUCUUUUCGUUCUUCCUGUUCAUUUGAUACCAUUUUUUUUUCAAAAUUCUGAUUCUUUUCGUAUCUUUUAUUUUCGAUGUGCGUGUCGCUUAUUCGUUGAUUUUUCGUUUUUUUUGUUCUGUUAUGAAGCUCAAUAGUGAUUGUUCUUUCAUUUCCUCUCACUUUCCUCUUGGAAUUCUUUUCAUCAAUGUCUGUUUUCCCUUCUAUCUUUAUUCCUAUUAUUUAAAUAAUGUUGUUGCUUGUUUUCGAUAUUAAUGAGAAUUUAUGGUUCUUUUUUUUUUUUUUAACUUCCUCGAUAUGCUAAUUGUUAGGCAGUGAUUUGCUGUAAUUUGAAAUUAAAACAGAGCUUAGAGCAUGGUUUUGAUGGGGAAACACGAUGAUGCACGCUCUGUUUUUCCUUUAACAAGUCUCCAGAUCGGGGACUUGCAGGCAUAUCUUUCGGAUCUUAGCCUUUACCUGGCCAUUGAAAGUAACAAAUUCUACAUUUUGGUGGACAACAGGCCAUGGCUGAGGGACUUGGAUUCACGGCCAGCUCACUUGUGGUGGCAAUUAAUGGUUACCAAGUCCAGGUUAUCUCCUUUUGCUAACACCAAAGGUCGUAGGGAGAAAAAAGAGGGGAAGGAAGCUUCUUCCGAAUCAAAUGCUAAAGAUUCGAAAAAGUUAGAGAGAUGGUUCUGUUCAAUUGAUGCUGCAAUGUUGUCUGAACAGAGGGUUUUGCUACCUGUUAAGAAACUGAGAACAUCUUUACUCCUUAGCAGUGAGUUGCAUCGGACAUUAUAUGGCUUCAUUGUAUUUGAAGUCACGUGGUCAAAUGUCCGAGGUAUUAACUACUUAAAUGAGCUUCAGACUGAUACCUCUCUGGCCAUAGAGGCUAAAUCCAUGCAAAGAUGGGAAUUUGACAGCAUCGAUCAAGCUGCAAAUUCUAUAUCUUCAUGGUUUUCUGGAACAUUGUUGGAGCUGUGUCAUUUAAAAGAGUACCUGGAUUCAACAACUGGAGAGGUCUUCCAUGACACUGAAGAAGAUUUUGAUGAGGAUAAUGAUGAUGGAAAUAUAUAUGAGGAUAGUUUCAGCACUGAAGAAAAUUUUCCGUAUGAUCAUUCUGGCACUUCCGAUUUAAGGGUUUACCCUUCUACUGGGGACUGCGAAACUUUUGAGCCACAAACUCCAAUUGGGCCUUAUAAGAGAAAAAAUGUGACCAAGGCAACUAGUACUGGAGUUGAAGUCGAUCUACAUUGUGGGGAAACCCAAAGGCAAACUGAAAACUCAUCCGACAACUCUACUGAAAAUGCAGUUGAAGCUACACUGUACAGGGAUGUUCUUCUUUUGUUUAGAUUUGAUGAUAGAGAUCUUCCAUUUAAAUUACAGCAAAUAAUAACUCCUGAUCUGAGGUUACUUCGUUUGUUAGAGGCUGGUCUUCCAUCCUGGGUCCUCUUUCUUCAAUCAUAUCCUGGCUUUUGCCAUAUCUAUCGGCCAUGGAUGUGCCCUCUGGCCAGAGCUCUAUAUGUUUUGAUUUCAGUCAUAACUGUUGUAAUUGGGUUUUAUGAUUUAUACAAAAAUGUCCCUGUUCUUAAGGCAACUGCUGCUCGUUUAUGUGGGCCACUUUUUGAUUGGAUAGAAACCUGGGAGAUGGUAUCAAGGAUCAAGUACUUGGGAACUAUGCUAUUUCUACAUAAUUGUCAGAAGGCUGUGAGGCUGUUUUUGACAUUUACGCGUGCUACUCGAUCAUUUUUCUCUUUUCUUUGUCUACCACUGGCAGAACCAUUUAUGGACUUUUUGGACUUCCUUUGGCCAAUUUGGAAUCUAUUCAGUGAGGUAGGUGAAAGCUUCUUUUCAGUCAUAUGGAUUGUGAUUUGUGCUCUCUACAAUCUAGUGGAGGAUCUCAUAGAGACUUUACUGAUGCCUAUCUGCUUUAUUGGCUUAGUUCUUCAAAAUCUCGCAACUUCCGUCCUGUGUCCUGUCUUUUGGAUUCUUUGGGAAAUAAUAUAUGCCCCAAUACGCCUGUUCCUUGGAUUCGCCAGAUUUGUGGCUUUUAUUUGUUUCUUCGUCUCUCGUUUGGUUGGAGAUAUAUGGCAAUCUUUUAGAAGCAUAAUUCAAUUUGCUUCUGCUACUGAAUCUGCAAUGAACAGUAAUGAGAUUUCCAUGUGGCGUUCACUUUGGAAUGACAUUUUUUCUCAGGUUUUUCGUGCUCUCAGAAGUAUAUUAAAUGGUUUUGUUGCCUUCUUUGCAGCCUGCAAUAGACAUCGCCUAAGCAUUUAUAAUCAUGCAAGGCAUUUUGUUCAAAGACCAUUUGGUGGAGCCACAACAUCACAAACCUCAGAUCCUAGACGUAGUAAGUCGGCACAUGGAAAUAUGAUGCACCCCCACUUAGAGAUAAGGAGGAGAGUCCAUGGUAAAUCUUGUCCUCCGGCAUUGUCAUUUUGAAAAGCCAUUUUGAGUUCGGAAAACGUAAGAAGCUAAUCCUUGUUCUGAUGAGAGCUAAUAUUCCGAUGCAAAAAUCUUUUAACAACCAAUAACAUGAAUAAUCGAAAGCUAACAUCAGCCAAUCUGAUAUCAACACUGAGAAAAAAAACCAUGGGAAAGGAGGGGAAAAGAAAAUACCACCCGUAUAGCUCUUUAGAGGUAUGGAAGGCACUGACUGAUUGCAGUAAUCUUUGAGAGCUGACCCCAUUCCUGCAACUAUUGAUAUACCCCGAAAAGAUUCCACCAUAUGCUCGACAAAAGGUCUGCAUUCAAUCAACGGACUAACUGAAGCACCAAAAGUAUCAUUCACUGCCUGUAACAUGGAAUUGUGAUCAGGUGGCUCAAUUGGCUCCAAAUGAGAGAGGUAAUCCUUCUGAAGAUUCUUUCUGACUUUCUCUGAAGCAAUGAACGAUGUUUCGAGGCUUGAAGUCCCUAAAGGAUCACACAAUGGUUGAGUACCACUUCCGAGAGCAUUUUGCGAUACUUUAUCAACUUCAGCAUCUGCGAUAACACUAGGCAUCAUACUUGAGCUUAAAAGGGACGAAGCAAAGGAAACAUCUCUAAGUUGUCUCAACUCUUCUUUAAGUAUCUGUGCCGGAGAGAAUUCAAUCCUCCAAGAACCCUCCCGAUAUAUGAAAAACUCGAAAAAACCCGUACUGGACAGCAUCAUAAAACAAGUACUAGAAGAAGAAAAAAAAAAAAAAAGACGCAACCAACGAUACCUACAUCCAUUUGGUAAAUUCCCAGUAACAGACAUCUCGUGAGUGAUAAUAUCUGAUAGGCCACCACACCGGAGUCUCAUUGUCGAUGGUCUUUCGUCUAUCUCCAAAGACCUUGGCCGUGAACUCGUAGGACUCUCGAACUGCAAGAAACCACAGGCUCCAUGUCCCUAUAUAAAGAGAAUCAACCCUUUUAUCAGUAAAUGUUUUUAACACUCGCAUCCGAACCCGAGUAACAGAUCGAUCUUGGUUUAAGUAUAGCAAUUGAAUUUCACAAUUUCUAUUCA
RNA transcript from Gossypium raimondii (Peruvian cotton), 3749 nucleotides. RefSeq lists it as uncharacterized. The transcript is spliced from 10 exons. Lineage: Eukaryota; Viridiplantae; Streptophyta; Magnoliopsida; Malvales; Malvaceae. The record is from RefSeq and is a predicted model, not a curated record.